Molecule: ribosomal RNA, 1057 nt
Filed under: Amynthas dactilicus
Lineage: Eukaryota; Metazoa; Annelida; Clitellata; Crassiclitellata; Megascolecidae
Description: partial 12S ribosomal RNA
Source: RNAcentral
CUCGAUAAUCCACGAAAACACAACCUUCUCUAGAUAUCAGCAUGUGUACUGCCGUUGUAAGCACACCUCUAAAAGAACAAGUGUGCCGCUAUGAUAACAAACUCAUAUACAUCAGGUCAAAGUGCAGCUAAUAAGAAGGUGAUGAUGGGUUACAACCCUAAUAUAGAUUAUCAAUAAAGAAAUAAAAAAUCUUAAGAAAGUGGACUUGGCUGUAAUCAACUUAUAGGCUAAAAAGAUGAAUAAAAAUCUAAGACAUGUACACAUCGCCCGUCACUCUAUCCUAAAGGUUAGAUAAGUCGUAACAAAGUAGGUGUAAUGGAAAUUGUACCUGUCGAAGUAUAGCAUAUAUAAUGCUUUUUACUUACACUAAAAAAAAAGUUUAAUACUUACUCCGCCCACACAAAACAACCCUAUAAAAUUAUUUUAUAAUAUAAAAACAAUUAAGCAUUUAACUAGAAAAGACAAAGUACAGAAAUGGAAACUAUAAUAAAUAACAGUAAAUUUUAACAACUAUACCUUGUGCAUUAUGGUUUUACAAGAAAACAAUUAAAAACAUAAAUCCCGAAUUCUAUAUGAGAUGUUAGACUGCUGUUAAGAACCCAUUAGUAACUGUAGAAAAAGGUUUAGAAGACAGUAUAACAGAGGCUACAUACCAUUCGCAUUAGAAAAUAGCUGGUUUUCAACAAACAUUAUACAUUAAAGCAUAUAAUUAUAUUAUACUGUAAUAUUAUUGAGGACAAGCCCAAUAAUUUAAACAAUACUUAUAACUAUCUAUUAUAUAAUAUAGGCCUAAAAUCAGCCAACAAUACCACUUUACCGUAACAUAUACAGAUAUAAUUUAUACAUAAAUAUGUUAAAAUAAAGUUGAAAUGAUAAAUAAACCACCUUAUUUGUCCCUACUAUGUAAAAAUAAGUAUUAAAAAAAUAUAAAUAAAACAAUCAGGAAAUUUUCAAUAAUAAAGCAACCAUAAUUAAUUAAGGAAUUCGGCAAACCACUAUUUCGACUGUUUAACAAAAACAUUGUCUCAUGAAUAAAAUACGAGAUAAUACCUGCCCA